UAAACAUUAUACAUUCCCACUCCGCCAUCAGGGCCCCGUGUGGAACGUACUGGGGCCUCGUGCUGCUGUAGCGCUUCUCUGUUAAAGCAUUUCACGCCGGGCAAUACCGGCAGCGGCCAAAUAAGUGCAUACCAUCAAGCAAUCGUGCCAUCAAGGAUAUAUAUCUCGUGCUGCAGACAUUUUAUUGACCGCGGACCCAGAUCUGGUCAGAUUCAACUUCGAGCAUCGUUAGGCUUCUGUGCCGCAACGCCACUACUACAACUGGAUCUGCCUUUCUGUCAGUAACGGACCAGCGAUACAUCCAGCUUUCUGAUUGCUGCUCAGAAUCUGCACCUGAAUCUUGCACCAAACUCUGUACCAGACUCGCACAAUAGCGCGGCCGCCGGUGUGGCAUGCAGUUCCGUUUUUCACCGACAGAACUGUCCGUUGAGCCCACAUGCUCCUUUGUUGGCGGUCGGGAGAUUGUUGUUCCAACAAUCGUUAGAUUAGCGAACGAGCAGAAAUAUCAUUUAUUUAUUGAUAAAGAUCGGCAAUCGACCUCCAUUCCGCUCGACUUGCAACCAACCCAUAAUGCAAAAGGCCAUAUCUAGCAACCGAAACGACUAAAACCAUCCCAAUCCACGCAUCCACCACCCACUCACAGCUUCAUUCCCUGCUCUAAUUUCAGCUUUUAUUCCCAACCCUCGCACCUAUUCAAUUUUGAAUUUAUUCCUUCAAUAACAGUCAACUUCUCAUCUUGAUUAGCAUACCAACGAGUACUUCUACUUUACCGCUCAGCUUGAAUGUGCCCUUUGAAGAGUUCUGUACAUUUGCCGAUAUCAUGAUGUCCCUUCAUGUUGCUCUGGGUUUAGCUUGAACUACAGCAGACAUCUUCGGCGAAGAUACUCAAGCAAGCUCAGUAAACCAAAGAAUAAUUAACGAUGAGUGGCACAAUUGAGGGAGCGACGGUAGUAAGGAGGGAUUGUGAAUAGUAGUGACGGGGCGGGAGGAAGGGCAGUGGACAUUGCAGAAGUGGUGGGGAAGGUUAAAUAGGCUGUUUUAAGAAACUAAAGAAGGGUACGAUGAAUGGAUGAAUAUGUUCUAGAAAGCUGUUCGCACUUAGUCAAGUUUGAUAAUGGAGCAAGACUGUUG
RNAcentral lists this small RNA (1131 nucleotides) under Cryptococcus neoformans H99. RNAcentral's name for it is "Cryptococcus neoformans var. grubii H99 hypothetical RNA". Lineage: Eukaryota; Fungi; Basidiomycota; Tremellomycetes; Tremellales; Cryptococcaceae. The record is from RNAcentral.